Molecule: ribosomal RNA, 466 nt
Filed under: uncultured bacterium
Lineage: Bacteria
Description: partial 16S ribosomal RNA
Rfam family: Bacterial small subunit ribosomal RNA
Source: RNAcentral
AUUGAACGCUGGCGGCAUGCCUUACACAUGCAAGUCGAACGGCAGCACGGGUGCUUGCACCUGUUGGCGAGUGGCGAACGGGUGAGUAAUACAUCGGAACAUGUCCCUUAGUGGGGGAUAGCCCGGCGGAAGCCGGAUUAAUACCGCAUACGAACUACGGAUGAAAGCGGGGGACCUGCGGGCUUCGCGCUGUGGGGUUGGCCGAUGGCUGAUUAGCUAGUUGGGGGGGUAGAGGCCUACCAAGGCGACGAUCAGGAGCUGGCAUGAGAGGUGGACCAGCGACAGGGGGACUGAGGUAGGGCGCAGAGGGCAACGGGGGACAGCAGGGGGGAGUAUUGCACAACGGGCGGGAGUGGGAGGCGGCGGCGCCGGGGGGGGGAUGAAGGCCUGCGGGGUGUAAACCGCUUGCGCCUGUGACGAAGCGGGAGUGACGGUAAUGGGAAAAGAAGCACCGGCUAACUACGUG